GCAGCCACAUUGCGAUGGCACUGUCUGUGAAACUAGAGAAUUGCAUACUAAAACAUUCACCUUCAUCCUUUUCUUAUUUUAAAUCUCAACAUUGUUCAUCCAGUCAAACAAGACAAAUGUACCUGAGUUCCUAAUUGCAGAAUACAUACAGUUUACAUGUGACGCAUGUGUGAAUGGUAUGUUUUUGCAAGUUGAUGUAAUUAGACUGAGUCCUCACUUAUGGCAUUAAGACUCCUCUCAGUAAAUCAUGACCUCAAUGCUCUGCUGCUUAUCAAUAAGAUGCUGAGUCAUGCCUUCUAAAGAAAGUAAAGGGUUCUAGCCAUUAAUAACUACAGAAAGUCAAAACAUGUUCUUAAAAUAAAAAUGAUCACAUGAUUUCCAGCCUGCCCAUUGUACCAUAAAGGGACUUUGUUCCCAUACAUAUUUCCUCUUCACUGUCAUGCUAUGCCUUAAAGUCUUUGAGUGAUUGUGUCUGUCUCAAAUGGUUGGAACUGGUUAAUCAUUGUAUCACCAGAAAGCCUGAUUUAAUUCGGCUAUUUAGACCGGGCUUUCCUGUGCCCCUCUGAAUUCAUGAAUACAGACAAACACAUUUACAGCUCAUCUCAAAUUGCAGCUGGAGCACCGUGGACAUUAGUGCUGAUGGUUUGGCAGGGAGGUGAUCUGCUCACAUUAGGUCAUUUGCUCUUAAUUGGAGCUUUCAGUCUGAAUCGACAGGGCCAACCUCUGUACCUGCUGCAGCAGACGUCAGAGAGUGAGACUGCAGAUAUAUUUAGCCUAAUUUCUUCUCCUCUGCACGCAGCUUUCCUCUCUGCAUAUGCUGACAUCGCUCUGAGUAAUCUUUUGGGAACGGUUGGUCUCCCAGCAUGCAGUUGGGCAGCUACUAUGAUAGCCACACUGAUGUUGCUGCUCACCGGCAGUUUAUCAACGUACCGCAUCCCCAUGGGUCAGGUGAUGUCCCCUGAAUACAACUUGCGCUCCCGCAAACAAUGGAAAGCUGGGAAAACCGCAGAAGGGGAGAGCACUGAUGUGUAACGUAUUGUAUCAGUACUUAGUACACGAUGGAUGUAUUUCUGGAAGGGUUGGACCAAAUAUAUGCAUUUUUAUUAUAAAUGUUACAAAUAUAUAUAUUUAUACAGUAUAUAUGUUCUUAGAAAACAUUGCCAUUCAUCAUAGUAACUUCACAAUUUGUCCACAAAGUGGCAGUGUUUGUUCAGCAACUAGGUUCUGAAAAUGUUUGAUAAAUAUAAACCUCUGUAUUGUAUUGAAGUUAAACUAUUUUUAUAAAAUAUAUACAGUAUAACAAUUCUUUCCAAGUUUUGCUACUUGUGUUAUUCCAUUAUGCCAGUUUUAACUCACCACAUUGCAUACAAAGCCAAAGAAACAGCCAAUUUGAAGGGAAAUAAAUAUUUUAAUAGGCAUGAAAUUAACAAGUCGGUUCAAUAAAAUCAAUCGUUUUUAAGCGUUAAUAAAAACACAGACUGAAUUCAACAGUAAUUGUUUUUUCACCCCUUCAUUACGCUGCAUAGACACACAUAGAACUCCACUGGGACUCAAUGUAGGAAUAGA
Long non-coding RNA from Notothenia coriiceps (black rockcod), 1566 nucleotides. RefSeq lists it as uncharacterized. The transcript is spliced from 2 exons. The record is from RefSeq and is a predicted model, not a curated record. NCBI's taxonomy places the organism in Eukaryota, Metazoa, Chordata, Actinopteri, Perciformes, Nototheniidae.